This 1006-nucleotide long non-coding RNA is filed under the name Volvox carteri. RNAcentral's name for it is "long non-coding RNA (VCAR_LNC000583)". Lineage: Eukaryota; Viridiplantae; Chlorophyta; Chlorophyceae; Chlamydomonadales; Volvocaceae. The record is from RNAcentral.
CCGUAUCAGACGACGACACGUCAUGCGAUGCAUGCGCAUGUCGUGCACGUGCAUGGUAUGUCGUACGUAUGCAGGUAUGUUGAUUGCAACUUCAAUACCAUAUUCACCUGCUAAUUUAUUUAGGCAAGGAAUUCCUUGGGUAGUUCGAGCUACCUAAUGCGGCAUAUUGGGGAGAAGUCAAACCUGUAUUCUAGGCAUGUCAAUUGCAAGCUGACAUCGACAACAGAAGGCAGCAGCAGGCAGGCAACCAGCCAUCUGUAGUAGCCAUCCCUUAUUAUUGUAGGCAAAUGAGUGAUCACAUCCAUAGAUGUGGAUGUGAUCAGUUGGCCAACUGUGCAUGCAUAUGCCGUGUAGCAGGCCGACAGGAAGGUGUUCAACCGGUUGAGCACCUAUAUAGGUAUAUAUACCUAGCUAGGUACCAGGCCUGAUCAUGAUACCAGGCACAGAGGGUGGUCAAGCAGAAUUGAGGAUUUAAGGGUUUGGGCACCCAGUCAUCUGCAGCUGGAUGUACUAGCCAUCCCUUACCCUUAGGUGAAUGGGUGAUCACAUUUUCUUUAUUCAGCCGUGAAGCAGGCUGAGAGAAAGGUGUUCAACCACGGAGUAUAUAUGGUCAAGUGGCAAAAGUAAAUAUCAAGAUAUGUGGAUAGUAAGAGUCAGGAGACAUAAUAACAAAGGAAUUUUGGUGCUAACAGAGUCUUGAACUUCAAACACCAGUAUAGUGAUAUUUAAAGUGUCUGGCCUAAGCACCUUUACCAGGUGGAUUAUAUAUGGCUCACCUAUUGCUAUCUAUCUACUCCAUUCCUGGAGUCAUGGUCUGGUGAUAUGAUGGUCAUCCUGUCGCGAGGUGUGUGUGCUUGUGUGUGCCAUGGCCAUAUGGCCAUGCAUGGCACAGUAAAACUUUAGAUCAUGAUCACCUACGUAUACGUAGGUGAUGCAUCACCUGGGACAGUCCCUACCUAUUAUACGAGAGUGUCGCUUAUAUAUAGGUGAUCGAAAGGUUUACUGU